CGAUGUGUAUAUGGCCAGCCCAAGGUCAUAACCUGGGGGAAGUACAGCUGAGAUCUGAACCCCAAGGGUACUCUCUCUCUGACUGCUCUCUGUUGCCCUGGAGGUGACUCAUUUCAGAUGGGUGAUCUGUAAAAGGGGGCAGCCUUUGGCUCCCAGACCAGUGCAGCCGGCAGGGUCUCGCCGGCCAUCCAAAUUCCAAGAGAAACCAAAACAUCUGAGUUUCACACACAAUCUUCUCUGUUUAACGUUGGCAGCUAUUUCAGAUUGACUUCUCACACUGUUGCUGGUGUAGUCGGGAGUUGGUCAGUUCUACAGCCCCCAGGGGUCCUGGUGCCCGUGAGCAGGGUGGAGACACCGGGCCUGCAGCGCAGCGGGGCGGCGUGCGGAACAUGACUUCAUCAUCCAGUGUUUCUCCCGCAGCCGCUGGA
Molecule: long non-coding RNA, 428 nt
Filed under: Bos grunniens (domestic yak)
Lineage: Eukaryota; Metazoa; Chordata; Mammalia; Artiodactyla; Bovidae
Description: lncRNA (ENSBGRG00000013855.1)
Source: RNAcentral